RNAcentral lists this ribosomal RNA (467 nucleotides) under uncultured bacterium. Its description in RNAcentral is "partial 16S ribosomal RNA". It matches the Rfam family "Bacterial small subunit ribosomal RNA", at positions 28 to 507 of the family's 1533-position model. The record is from RNAcentral.
GAUGAACGCUGGCGGCGCGCCUAACACAUGCAAGUCGAACGAUUAAAGCACCUUCGGGUGUGUAUAAAGUGGCGAACGGCUGAGUAACACGUGGGCAACCUGCCCCUUUCAUUGGGAUAGCCACGGGAAACCGUGGAUAAUACCGAAUACUUCGAGACUUCCGCAUGGAAGACUCGAGAAAGCUCCGGCGGAGAGGGAUGGGCCCGCGGCCUGUUGGCUUGUUGGUGGGGUAACGGCCUACCAAGGCAAUGAUGGGUAGCUGGGUUGAGAGACCGACCAGCCAGAUUGGGACUGAGACACGGCCCAGACUCCUACGGGAGGCAGCAGUGGGGAAUCUUGCACAAUGGGCGAAAGCCUGAUGCAGCGACGCCGCGUGCGGGAUGAAGGCCUUCGGGUUGUAAACCGCUUUCAGCAGGGACGAGGCGAAAGUGACGGUACCUGCAGAAGAAGCCCCGGCUAACUACGUG